UGCUCCCCACAUCCAUAUGACCAAUGGUAAGGCCUUGCAAGCCAGUGCAAGUGCCAUCAAGACAAGCACCAUUCCAGUGAUCAAGAGACAGAGGCAAAAUUGGCUUGAUGCUUCAGAAGAUGGUUUCUUUAUAGCCACAGAAGAGACCAGUGCUGAAGCAGUUAGAAACCUUCUCACGAAAAAUCCGUAAGAAGUUCACCAGAUCACAGCUGAAAAGAGCUUCCAGAACACCUUGUUCUUCAAUCAUUGCAAAGACAAAGUCUCUCAUGAACAAUAGGCAGGCACGAACAGAGCCAGGAAUCAUCAUGCACUGAAGAUAUAACAGCAUCAGCACCAUAAAAAUGUCAAAAUCAUGUUUAAUUGUGAAUGCAAAUACAACAUUACUUCACAUAUCUUUUGAGACAGAAACAGUAUAUGGACAUAUUGUGGUUGGGUUGUAUGUUCUGGGCAGGAUCCAACAGCAGCCCUUGUAUUUCCCCUCACCUCUGCAAGGGCUACUUCUGGUUCACUGUGCAGGCCUAUCCCGGAUUCCCUCUAUUGCCAGUUGACAGUGUUAGCUGUUGAGGGAGGAACUGUUUGCACUGACCACACUGAAGGAGUAUGGAUGCAGAGUCCAACCACUACAUUUGUCUGUGCCUCCUAGUGGCUCAAUACAAAAAUAUGCAGCUUUCAAAACUAUUGUAAUGUCUUUAAAGUGGGAUUUAACCUUGAGGGGUUGCAUUUUCAAAAACAACUGCAAACUUUGAGCGUUCAUAUUUUUCAGUAUUGAUUUGAGUCACUCUGGAUUUGAUUUUCUGAACUGCUGGGCAUCCAGACCCUGAAACAAGGGCAGGGUGUUGUUUAGCAGUUCUGAAACUUAGAUUGAAUUAGGAAGUGCCCAUAACUAGUGGCCAAUUUUUAAAAUGUUGGCUGUAUUAGCUUUGGUUAAAAUCCUGGAAAGUAUUAUGUGUGGAAGUGAACAUCCAGCUGGACUAGUUGCAUGUGUAAGAGCUAGUCCUGUCUUCUAUAUAUUUGCAAGCAUCCUCUUAUUUCUUUGGGUAUUUUUUGCAUUUCUUGAAGCCUAUUCUGAAUAGUUAAAACCAGCAGAACACCAUUCCCAGAAAACAUGAAGAAAUAAACUAUUUCCUAUUAGAAAUGUCUCUCCACAAAAUAAUUUUUACAUUUUGAUAUGUCUGGAUAAAAAGAUGUCUUGCUUUGAAGUUCAUAAAUGUAAGGCUACUGGUGGAUACUUACCAUGGAGAGAUGAUGUGCCUUUUGAAACUACUUGUAGGAAACUGUCAGUCUCCCAGAAAGUGGGAAUGGCGACAGAGGCAGGUCUUUUUUCUACUCAGGUACUUACAGGUGAACAAUCUCUGCCCUACUUUGAAAUCCAGAGAAAAACAGUGUGUAGCACUGCUGUGUAGUACGUCAAUCAUCCGAGGCAAGUUGUCCUUCAACGGGUUUCGAUUCUGUACGGCUUUUUAAGAUGUGAUCAGACACUGAACACGUCAUAGUAAACUGAGAUGAGCUUCAAAACUUUUUUCCUCCCUCUUUACUACUUAGUUCUAACAGUGUAAUAAUAAUUGUGAGGUUUUCAUCCAGUCAUGGAUAUGCACCCAGCUUUGGGGUUAGAAAGACAAAAAUGUAAAUGAUGUGUCGUAGCCUCUGGGUGAUGCCCCAAAAUUAUUUCCCGCCAUGCAUUUCAUGGUUUCAGUCUGAAAGAGCAUCUGUGAUCUCAGCCUAUAACUAGCCAUAUUCUCUAUGUAGGAUUUUGUGCCCUUGAGACAGAGACCCAGAUGCUUCUUCAAAGACAAAAGCACCCUGACCUCUUGAGGGGACUUGCUGAUGGUUUUCUGGAGUGAUGGUUCCAGGUCUUGUCUGCUGUCCUUCACCAGCAAGAAAAGGGUGAUGGAGAGAUUCAUGACAUGAAGUGCUUACUCCUAGUGCCCUGAAUACCUUAGUGAAUGUCACUGAUUUGGACACAGUUGGAGAAGACCUGUGAUUCAUCUGCUUACAGUAUUUUCCAGUAGCCACUGAAGUGUGCAGCCUAGGAGUCUCUUCUAGGCACAGGAUCUGCUUCUUUCUCUCAACAGGAGGGCUUUUCAUCAGAUAGCUGAGCAGAGACAACCUACUCUUAUUAGUAAGGAUUGCCUUUAUUAACUGCAACAUAUGGAAACACCUUCUGUAUAAUAGCUUCCUCACCCAUUAAAAUCAAGGAAACAUGAUUACUCAGCAAUCUGUUUGACUGAAAGUAUGAAAAACAUUAACAGAACAAGCUUCCUCAGACAUCAGUGAAAUCACACGCAGCAGACUCAUUUUCAAAGUGUCAUUAGCUGUAAGGUUGUAGAUUUUUUUACCCUGCCUUAUUAAGCUUGUACUCAAAUUAUUUCUUUUAGCCAGUAUGCUCCAGUGUCUAGACAGUAUUUUGUAAAAUCUCUGUGUGUUUCUCCUUUUGACAAUAGUAUUAGUAUCUGUAAUAGUCUGAUGUGAAGUCCUUUUUUCUUCUUUCCCUCUAAGGGAAGGUAUAUUGGUAACCCAGCUCCCUGUUAUGCAGCCAACUGCCUGGUACCAUUAUCUUUUGCAUCAAACAGCCAAGGUAAGGAAGAAUCCUUUGCUGCUUCAAGCUGAGGUGCUUCAUCUGGAUACACUGGGAAUAAUUUCACUUCUGCCCAGCAAAGUCAUUUCACAGGUUGCAAUAACCAACCCUUGGGAUAGGUAAGGCAUGGAGAAGACUAAUUGCUGGAAUAACUUCUGCUCUGUCUUUAAACUGUUCUGCAUGCAGCUGCACAGAGACUUUCUCCCCCUUAAACUGCACACAGUGCAUGGAGAAACUGCACGCCAUGUAUUGCACCUUUGUCUUUACCUGCUCUCUCUCCAUCUUACCUUUCCUGCAAGAUGUUCUCCACAUACUGAUACCGGAUUUACCCGUGAAGUUAAACUGAGAACACUGAUGGAAGAUCUGCUGAAAACGUGUUCCUGCUGCAUUUGGGCAUAAAGAUUUAAAUUUUUGUAGAAAUCGUGACACUCCUUUCUACCACAUCAUGCAAUUCCAUGCUUUCUGUUGAGUUAAAAGAUUUUUCACUGACUGUAAGUAAAGAUGACACAUUCCUGUGUUAUCUGUAACAGCGUAUCCACAACAAAUCAGAGCUCCCUACUUUUUUUAUCAAGCUUCCCAAGUUAGUUAUUUUAAAAUCAGCUAACAUAUCUCAGUCAUCAACAAUGACAUUGAGUUUAAACAUAAACCUUCUAAGCAAGGACAAGAGGUUUGGUACUUACCAUGGAUAUAAGCAAGAGAAUCUAGACAGCAUCAGAGCUGCAUUUACCAUAUGAUUUAUUUUCCAGUUAGCUAAAUAAGAAAUCUGUCUGAAAAUUUGCCUUUCCAUUUACAAAUCAGGGGCUAGGAAACCAUGCAAAAUGCACAGUCUUUUGUGUUCAGAGGCCUCAUAUAGAAAGUAAGAAGAUUGUUUUAAUGUCUGAAAUGUCUAUGUCAUUUUCAUCUAUAUAGCUGCUCUGUUCUCUUGAAAUGUUGUGUAUCCUAUUUUCAGAUUAUUUUUAAAGGCCCCUGCUUACUGAUGGAAGUUUUG
Empidonax traillii (willow flycatcher) is the source of this 3563-nucleotide long non-coding RNA. RefSeq lists it as uncharacterized. The transcript has 3 exons. Lineage: Eukaryota; Metazoa; Chordata; Aves; Passeriformes; Tyrannidae. The record is from RefSeq and is a predicted model, not a curated record.